CCUACGGGAGGCAGCAGUGGGGAAUUUUGGACAAUGGGCGAAAGCCUGAUCCAGCCAUGCCGCGUGCGGGAAGAAGGCCUUCGGGUUGUAAACCGCUUUAGUCCGGGAAAAAGGGGUGCGAGGAUAAUACCCUUGUGCUUUGAUGGUACUGGAAGAAUAAGCACCGGCUAACUACGUGCCAGCAGCCGCGGUAAUACGUAGGGUGCGAGCGUUAAUCGGAAUUACUGGGCGUAAAGCGUGCGCAGGCGGUCUUGUAAGACAGUCGUGAAAGCCCCGGGCUUAACCUGGGAACUGCGAUUGUGACUGCAAGGCUAGAGUGUGUCAGAGGGGGGUGGAAUUCCACGUGUAGCAGUGAAAUGCGUAGAGAUGUGGAGGAACACCGAUGGCGAAGGCAGCCCCCUGGGAUAACACUGACGCUCAUGCACGAAAGCGUGGGGAGCAAACAGGAUUAGAUACCCUGGUAGUCCACGCCCUAAACGAUGUCAACUGGUUGUUGGAAGGGUUAAACCUUUUAGUAACGAAGCUAACGCGUGAAGUUGACCGCCUGGGGAGUACGGUCGCAAGAUUAAAACUCAAAUGAAUUGACGG
Molecule: ribosomal RNA, 588 nt
Filed under: uncultured bacterium
Lineage: Bacteria
Description: bacterial SSU rRNA
Rfam family: Bacterial small subunit ribosomal RNA
Source: RNAcentral